GCCUCACUUCAUGCUUGAUUUGCAAGCUGAGGAAGAACAGUUGUUCCUUUGAAGAAAACUUAAUUACAGAAAGUAAAAGACCCAGUUUAUUAUCUUGUAGAUGUUGAACAUAUGAAUGAUCUGUGUACAAAUGUACAAUUAUUUUCUAAUCAUUCAGAUAUAACUAUGAUCUGGAAACCCACUCUGAUGAAAAUUGUGUUUUUAACAUGUUCUUGUAUCAUUUUUCGGAUGAUGCAGGACAAGUACAUAUAUAUAUAUAUAUAUAUAUAUAUAUAUAUAGAGAGAGAGAGAGAGAGAGGAGUAAGCUAAAAAGUGCAUUUCUUAGUAUUUCUUUAUUCAAGUUGCUGUAAAUCGGGAGCACCCAAAAAUGUUUUUAAUGAACUUACAGGUACAGGUUUUUUGAUUUUGGUAAAAACAGCAUAAUCAUAAUUAAAAGACGCCUGGGAACGCUCUAAAAAUAAAUAAAAAAAAUGAUCGGAGUGCGACUUUAAGUGACCAAAACGUCUGCAUAGAUCCUGCAAAGUUCAUCAAGUGAUUUGCGCUCACAGAUUGUUUAUGUUUGUCUUCAUGGUGCAGCUGGAUGGAACGGUGGAUCUGGACGAGAGGCACCUCAUCCGUUCAGCCAUCAGAGAGCUGAGGAGGAGGGAGAUUGAAGACCUGGAGGCGUCUCUGGCCAGCAAAAGAUUUCGACCCACGCGCCUUAAUCAACAGGAAGACAAAGAGAACCUGCACAGUUCAGAAUCGAACGAGAACUUGGACACCCUGUCUGAACAACUGCAGUCGAUCCAGGAUAUAGAUGAACUAACAGAAAUGGUAAAUAUUAAAGUGCACAUAGUUGCAUCAACCAUAGAAAAAAAACUGUUUUUUUUUUCAUUUGGUAUAAUCACUUGUAGCUCCGCUCUUCCAGCAAGUAUGAGGAGCGGAAAAUGAUUCGAGCGUCCAUCAGACGGAUCCGGGACCAGCAGCUUCAAGGUGAAAUGUUCCCUUCCAUUCAGUCGGGCACAGCUCGUCUAACAGAGAUUAAACUUUAUAACAGUAAAUAAGACAUGUAUAAGUGUACCAGGGGAGAAAACCAUUACCAUUGAAUCCUUUUUUUACUGAACCAUUUUUGCUUAUUAGUCUCACUUAAGUUAAUAAGCUGUAAACUGAAAUAUUUAAGCAUACACGUGAUAAAAGAUAAAGCAGAGCCAUUUUGCCAUCAGGACGGCUUAUAAACCCUGAUAUAGGUUGUUAAAAAAAACUUUCAGCUCAUUAUAGAUUAGAUUUUGAAAGAAAAACCUAGAUUUUUUUACUUUACUUUAGUGUGUUGACCAUAAAAAACGUGUUUUCACCUUUUAUAGCUAUUACCACCUCUGCACCUACAAUGCUGGAUCAGAUAUAACAUUCUUGCCAUUACUUAGCGCUGUCUGUUCUGGGUGAGGCGUCUAUCAUUCUGCAGUCUUGUAAUGCAUCAGCUGUGUAAAAAACUUUUUUUUAACCCUCACACUUGAGGCUGUUUGUUAGAUGUGUUCUUGCUGUACACAUAAAUCCUUUCCCUUGUGUCUCUAUGUAUUUUAGGACAAACAGAACGUGAUAUGACCUCUGAUCGCCACUUGGAGCCUGAGAGUGUGGAGUCCCAGAGCAGCAAGGGGACCAGGGUGAGAAUAUCACAGUUUAUUUUAAAGCUGAUCCUUAAAACUGAAAAAUAAAUAAAUAAAGCACUUGUGUUCAUAUUUGCUUCUGCUGACAAAAACAAUCAAGGUACAGACCAAUUUUCUUUUUAACUUUUACAAACAUCUGUGACUGCUGUGGUUUGCUUGCUGCCACAGUAAGAAUGUAGAAAACAACAACACUGUUUUUUUUUUUUUUGAGUUAUGACUGCGGCCUUACUCUGCAAACGCACACAGCAACAAAACACGGGCCUCUGUAGCCACAAAGUCAGGAAUGUGUGUUGUUUUCCAGCCCCCAUGCAGGUUUCUCCAAAAAUGAGCAGAAAGAUUUGCUUUGACACUGGUGUUUAGUGAAGGCAGUAAAUAGUUGUUGUCAGGGGAAAUGUCACACAGAUCCUUCCACAUGUGUCUGAACCCUUCUUCAAUGGCUUUGUUCACAUCUUUCACAGUUGCCCUCUAGCGGCUGUUUGGCAGAUAACUACUGUCUCGUGCAAAGACAUUAGGUAUUGUUGU
RNAcentral lists this long non-coding RNA (2162 nucleotides) under Oryzias sinensis (Chinese medaka). RNAcentral describes it as "lncRNA (ENSOSIG00000018761.1)". Lineage: Eukaryota; Metazoa; Chordata; Actinopteri; Beloniformes; Adrianichthyidae. The record is from RNAcentral.